GUAACGCUGGCGGCGUGCUUACACAUGACAAGUCGAACGAACCUUCGGGUUAGUGGCGGACGGGUGAGUAACGCAAUCUGCCCUCAGGAGGGGGACAACAGUUGGAAACGACUGCUAAUACCCCAUAUGCCGCGAGGUGAAAUGAAUUUCGCCUGAGGAUGAGCUCGCGUCUGAUUAGCUAGUUGGUGUAGGUAAUGGCUCACCAAGGCAUCGAUCAGUAGCUGGUCUGAGAGGAUGAUCAGCCACACUGGGACUGAGACACGGCCCAGACUCCUACGGGAGGCAGCAGUGGGGAAUUUUCCGCAAUGGGCGAAAGCCUGACGGAGCAACGCCGCGUGAGGGAUGAAGGCCUCUGGGCUGUAAACCUCUUUUAUCAAGGAAGAAGAUCUGACGGUACUUGAUGAAUAAGCCACGGCUAAUUCCGUGCCAGCAGCCGCGGUAAUACGGGAGUGGCAAGCGUUAUCCGGAAUUAUUGGGCGUAAAGCGUCCGCAGGCGGCCCUUCAAGUCUGCUGUUAAAAAGUGGAGCUUAACUCCAUCAUGGCAGUGGAAACUGUUUGGGCUUGAGUGUGGUAGGGGCAGAGGGAAUUCCCGGUGUAGCGGUGAAAUGCGUAAUAUCGGGAAGAACACCAGUGGCGAAGGCGCUCUGCUGGGCCAUCACUGACGCUCAUUGAACGAAAGCCAGGGGAGCGAACGGAUUAGAUACCCCUGUAGUCCUGCGCACGUAAACGAUGAACACUAAGGUGUACGGGGGAAAUCGAACACCUCCAGAUGUCCUGUAAGCCAAAGCAGUUAACUUGUUUCCGAGCAUGGGGAAGUAUCAGCGCGCAUUUAACUCAGGAUGAGGAGUUAAUCAACGCG
RNAcentral lists this ribosomal RNA (859 nucleotides) under uncultured cyanobacterium. RNAcentral describes it as "bacterial SSU rRNA". It matches the Rfam family "Bacterial small subunit ribosomal RNA". Lineage: Bacteria; Bacillati; Cyanobacteriota. The record is from RNAcentral.